RNAcentral lists this ribosomal RNA (483 nucleotides) under uncultured bacterium. RNAcentral describes it as "partial 16S ribosomal RNA". It matches the Rfam family "Bacterial small subunit ribosomal RNA", at positions 30 to 506 of the family's 1533-position model. The record is from RNAcentral.
AUUGAACGCUGGCGGCAGGCCUAACACAUGCAAGUCGAGCGGAUGAAGGGAGCUUGCUCCUGGAUUCAGCGGCGGACGGGUGAGUAAUGCCUAGGAAUCUGCCUGGUAGUGGGGGAUAACGUCCGGAAACGGGCGCUAAUACCGCAUACGUCCUGAGGGAGAAAGUGGGGGAUCUUCGGACCUCACGCUAUCAGAUGAGCCUAGGUCGGAUUAGCUAGUUGGUGGGGUAAAGGCCUACCAAGGCGACGAUCCGUAACUGGUCUGAGAGGAUGAUCAGUCACACUGGAACUGAGAAACGGUCCAGACUCCUACGGGAGGCAGCAGUGGGGAAUAUUGGACAAUGGGCGAAAGCCUGAUCCAGCCAUGCCGCGUGUGUGAAGAAGGUCUUCGGAUUGUAAAGCACUUUAAGUUGGGAGGAAGGGCAGUAAGUUAAUACCUUGCUGUUUUGACGUUACCAACAGAAUAAGCACCGGCUAACUGCGU